GUGGGGAAUAUUGGACAAUGGGCGAAAGCCUGAUCCAGCCAUGCCGCGUGUGUGAAGAAGGUCUUCGGAUUGUAAAGCACUUUAAGUUGGGAGGAAGGGCAGUAAGUUAAUACCUUGCUGUUUUGACGUUACCGACAGAAUAAGCACCGGCUAACUUCGUGCCAGCAGCCGCGGUAAUACGAAGGGUGCAAGCGUUAAUCGGAAUUACUGGACGUAAAGCGCGCGUAGGUGGUUUUGUAAGUUGGAGGUGAAAUCCCCGGGCUCAACCUGGGAACUGCCUCCAAAACUGCAUGACUAGAGUACGGUAGAGGGUAGUGGAAUUUCCUGUGUAGCGGUGAAAUGCGUAGAUAUAGGAAGGAACACCAGUGGCGAAGGCGACUACCUGGACUGAUACUGACACUGAGGUGCGAAAGCGUGGGGAGCAAACAGGAUUAGAAACCCCAGUAGUCC
RNAcentral lists this ribosomal RNA (450 nucleotides) under uncultured bacterium. RNAcentral describes it as "bacterial SSU rRNA". It matches the Rfam family "Bacterial small subunit ribosomal RNA", at positions 354 to 796 of the family's 1533-position model. The record is from RNAcentral.